CCCUUAGAUGUUCUGGGCCGCACGCGCGCUACACUGACGAAUGCAACGAGCUUAUAACCUUGGCCGAAAGGUCUGGGUAAUCUCCAAAUUUCGUCGAGAUGGGGAUAGAUUAUUGCAAUUAUUAAUCUUCAACGAGGAAUGCCUAGUAAGCGCAAGUCAUCAGCUUGCGUUGAUUACGUCCCUGCCCUUUGUACACACCGCCCGUCGCUCCUACCGAUUGAAUGGUCCGGUGAAGCGUUCGGACCGUGGCCUUUGGACGGUUCGCCGUCUGUUGGCUGCGGGAAGUUCGUUAAACCUUAUCAUUUAGAGGAAGGAGAAGUCGUAACA
This 327-nucleotide ribosomal RNA is filed under the name uncultured eukaryote. RNAcentral describes it as "partial 18S ribosomal RNA". It matches the Rfam family "Eukaryotic small subunit ribosomal RNA", at positions 1470 to 1796 of the family's 1831-position model. The record is from RNAcentral.